This 520-nucleotide unclassified non-coding RNA is filed under the name uncultured Glomus. RNAcentral describes it as "SSU rRNA". It matches the Rfam family "Eukaryotic small subunit ribosomal RNA", at positions 569 to 1090 of the family's 1831-position model. Lineage: Eukaryota; Fungi; Glomeromycota; Glomeromycetes; Glomerales; Glomeraceae. The record is from RNAcentral.
AGCAGCCGCGGUAAUUCCAGCUCCAAUAGCGUAUAUUAAAGUUGUUGCAGUUAAAAAGCUCGUAGUUGAAUUUCGGGAUCAAUAUAUUGGUCAUGCUUAGGUAUGUACUGGUAUUAUUGAUUUCUCCCUUCUGAAGAACCAUGAUGUCAUUAAUUUGAUGUCGUGGGGAAUCAGGACUGUUACUUUGAAAAAAUUAGAGUGUUUAAAGCAGGCUUUCGCUUGAAUACAUUAGCAUGGAAUAAUGAAAUAGGACGUUUGAUUCUAUUUUGUUGGUUUCUAGGAUCGACGUAAUGAUUAAUAGGGAUAGUUGGGGGGCAUUAGUAUUCAAUUGUCAGAGGUGAAAUUCUUGGAUUUAUUGAAGACUAACUACUGCGAAAGCAUUUGCCAAGGAUGUUUUCAUUAAUCAAGAACGAAAGUUGGGGGAUCGAAGACGAUCAGAUACCGUCGUAGUCUUAACCAUAAACUAUGCCGACUAGGGAUCGGAUGAUGUUAAUUUUUUAAUGACUCAUUCGGCGCCUUA